Molecule: ribosomal RNA, 452 nt
Filed under: uncultured bacterium
Lineage: Bacteria
Description: bacterial SSU rRNA
Rfam family: Bacterial small subunit ribosomal RNA
Source: RNAcentral
UACGGGAGGCAGCAGUGGGGAAUAUUGCACAAUGGGCGCAAGCCUGAUGCAGCCAUGCUGCGUGUAUGAAGAAGGCCUUCGGGUUGUAAAGUACUUUCAGUCGUGAGGAAGGUGUUAAGGUUAAUAACCUUAGCAAUUGACGUUAGCGACAGAAGAAGCACCGGCUAACUCCGUGCCAGCAGCCGCGGUAAUACGGAGGGUGCGAGCGUUAAUCGGAAUUACUGGGCGUAAAGGGCACGCAGGCGGUUAAUUAAGUUGGAUGUGAAAUCCCCGGGCUUAACCUGGGAAUGGCAUUCAAGACUGGUUAGCUAGAGUCUUGUAGAGGGGGUAGAAUUCCAUGUGUAGCGGUGAAAUGCGUAGAGAUGUGGAGGAAUACCGGUGGCGAAGGCGGCCCCUGGACAAAGACUGACGCUCAUGUGCGAAAGCGUGGGGAGCAAACAGGAUUAGAUACC